UUUAAAUAAAAUGCCCUAAGCAUUUUUAAUGGAAAAGUUUUGCCAGAUAUUUAUUAUUCCAUACUCUACCAAUAACAAUAUGAAUAUACCAAUGUGUAAUGGCAGAAUAUGUAAGGGGCCACGUUCGGACACACAUAGAUGGAGUUGGUUUAUUAGACGGGACCGACGCAUGGCGAAAAAUCGAUUUCCUUUCACUAUCACCGAUUUCAGAAAUUUUAAUGGCAGUCAAUUCUAAGCAUGUUAAAUCUUAGGAAGCAAACAUUUUUGAGUAGUUCAAUGUAAUUUGUUCAGAUCAGCGUCAUGUGGCUUCGAAUUACGUAAUGCAAAUAUUUAUGGCUGAUAACAUCUCCCA
Molecule: long non-coding RNA, 352 nt
Organism: Stomoxys calcitrans (stable fly)
Lineage: Eukaryota; Metazoa; Arthropoda; Insecta; Diptera; Muscidae
Exons: 2
Source: RefSeq, a predicted model, not a curated record